GUGUAUUCAGUAGGUCUACAAUGUUCAAGCUACUAGUACUGGUCCUUGUAGGGCUAAUUCUUGUGGCUCUAGCAACUCCAACAGCUACUGGCAAAAAACCCCAAGAUGUUGGAGAAUCAAGUCAUGAAAAAGAAAUAAAAGGCGGCAACAAUGGACUCUCUUCAAGCAAGAAAGCUAAAAAGAGUAAGAAAAGCAAUAAAAAAAGAAGCAAGAAAAUGAAGGAAAAGGAA
Molecule: long non-coding RNA, 230 nt
Organism: Eurytemora carolleeae
Lineage: Eukaryota; Metazoa; Arthropoda; Copepoda; Calanoida; Temoridae
Exons: 2
Source: RefSeq, a predicted model, not a curated record